GUCCAAGGUUAGUCCUCUCAAAACCCUCCCUAAUUUCCCAAACUCAUGUCUCUUUUGGUCAGAUCUUUAAACAUUUUAUUUACACGUGUUUUUAUAUUUCGAUUGCGGGCAAAUCUGAAAUGUUUUGUUUGAUUUUAGUUGGUUGUUUGUUUGCGAGCUCGAGAUGUUAGUGCUUUUGGAUUAGCGGAUGGGUAGAAAGCGGAUUGAGAAAAUUUGAGUGUGAAAUGUUGUUUGGUUGCUGAGAAAAUCGAGAGAAAGCUGAGAAAACUCCAAAUUUUUUUUUCACUGAUCGUUGGUUUCAUUUCAAAAGGAAAGUGAAAUACUGAAAUUAAACAGGCCUCGGUCGUCUAUGUUAAUGGGGUAAAGUGGAGGUUUUUGUAGAAGAGGAAAUAAAUCA
Molecule: unclassified non-coding RNA, 397 nt
Filed under: Hevea brasiliensis (rubber tree)
Lineage: Eukaryota; Viridiplantae; Streptophyta; Magnoliopsida; Malpighiales; Euphorbiaceae
Source: RNAcentral